This 308-nucleotide small nuclear RNA is filed under the name Jaculus jaculus (lesser Egyptian jerboa). RNAcentral describes it as "7SK RNA (ENSJJAG00000002114.1)". It matches the Rfam family "7SK RNA". Rfam says of the family: 7SK was discovered as an abundant small nuclear RNA in the mid-70s but a possible function has only recently been suggested. Two independent studies have found that 7SK RNA binds the CDK9/cyclin T complex (known as elongation factor P-TEFb). The record is from Rfam by way of RNAcentral. Lineage: Eukaryota; Metazoa; Chordata; Mammalia; Rodentia; Dipodidae.
GGAUGUGAGGACAAUCUGGCUGUGACAUCUGUCACCCCAUUGAUUUCCAGGGUUGAUUCAGCUGAUCUGCCUGGCUAGGUGGGUGCUCCCUUCCUCCCUCCCCUGUGGCUCCAUGUGCAUUCCUCCUGAAGCUGUGUGCUUGGUAGAGAGAGGAUGACCUUCCCCAAAUAGAGGAGGAUCUGUUUUCAGUCAAGGGUAUAAAAGUAGGAUUAGUUGUGCUCCUUCGAUUGAACCUCCAUACAAGCGCUCAAGAAUGCAAUCAUUUGUCAAAGCAGAAGUGACUAAAUAUUUCAGAUAAAAAUAGGUUU